GCAGUCGCAGCUUAGAACUGCUCGUUGACCUACCUUAACCCAACCCCGGAAAUAACGUACCGGUCUUCGGGAUCGAAAUCGGAAGUUGACUAGAAAGUCAGCUGAUUCCGUCCCUUCUAGGGCACCGGGUUGGCUAGGCAGCCAUCUUGUCCGAGGUUAAUUUGUGAGCGUCUGUGAGAAAAGGACCAAAAAGGGGGACAAGGGGCAGCAUUUUUACGUUGAAACAGAAAAGAAUGAAGACGUUUAGCGUAGAGGACCCUGAAGGGAAUAGUUCGGCUUCAGUGGGUUAUGACCCUCUGGAGUCAUCAUCACGAUUUAACAACUGCGAUGUGGUGGCGUCAUCACCUAGCGCUACCAGAGGUUCCAUGGACUCCCAGAACAAAAUGCAAAUUGGGAUUCUCUGCACUCUGCCUCCACUUCUGAGAACCCUUCUGGAGUUCGGCUUAAAUUAUGCUAGCACCCACUGUGCUGUACUUUGAAAGACUUGCAGCAACUACCUCAUCCAGGAUUAGCCAGUUCGGUUUCCAUGAGACUUUGGAAUUGGGACACAAGAUACUAGUCCAUCUCUGCUGAUCACUUGAAGAGAAAAUGUGAACUUGCUAGGUGUGCACUUAGAAGCAGGAAAACUUGUUUUCAGAGGGAGCAGCAGCAGCAGCUGAUAAGCAUUACCUGGCAAGAUGAGCAGAAGCAUGACUGAAAACAGUGGCUUCGGUUCCUGAUGGCAUUCCAAUCCUCAUCCCAGUGCCUCUUCAAGCCCAACUGUUUGGCCUUUAUGAGACGAAUACACCUAUUCCUUUUAAUUAGUUGUCCUAUUACUAUUAAACUAGCUGUGAGGGUGUCUGUUCCGUGCAAUGAAGGAAUCUCUAGAGAGAGAAGAGGGCCCUCAUCAGUGCUGCUGUGCACAGGAUCUUUCUGGCAAGUUUUCAGAACACUACCAAUGAUAAACCAAAGAUGGAGAUGGGAAGAAUGGGACACGUUGAUGAAGAUAUUUUUAUAACUGGUAACAAAUUCCUCUGGAAAUAAACCUGACAUGUAGUCUUUUAGAUGGAAGCUAGGAAGGGGACACCUGACAGCUGACUGGAGUCACUGAGCCACUUGUAAACAUCUGCUUUUUUCGUUAAAACUCAUGAUCAUCAUUGGGGAGGUGCAGCCCACGUGGAAGGAUUCAUUUUGGCCACUUCUGAGAGAGAAGGAAAUUCCUAAAAUGAAGGGCUUUGCCUGUGUUACACGGAAGUCACUAGAAGAGAGGAAGGCUGUUCGGGAGCAGUUCUAGUUCAGUGUGGCAACAGCAUGGCGACCAGUGGGGAAAAACAGUUUUCUAUCUGGGAGUAAGAAACAUAGGCCACUGAACUCUCAUUUGGCCACAUGUGUAUUCACUGGCUUGGUGGC
Mustela erminea (ermine) is the source of this 1389-nucleotide long non-coding RNA. RefSeq lists it as uncharacterized. The record is from RefSeq and is a predicted model, not a curated record. The transcript has 3 exons. NCBI's taxonomy places the organism in Eukaryota, Metazoa, Chordata, Mammalia, Carnivora, Mustelidae.